Non-coding RNA from Microcebus murinus (gray mouse lemur), 864 nucleotides. Lineage: Eukaryota; Metazoa; Chordata; Mammalia; Primates; Cheirogaleidae. The record is from RefSeq and is a predicted model, not a curated record.
CAGCGGCCGCACACGGAAACAGCCGAGCUCCGCCCGGAGCAGCUCGAGCGGCCCCGCCCCGCGCUGGGGGCGGAACGUGCCGAAGGCCUUCGGGUACCUCCGGGCGAGGCGGAGGCAUUCUGCCAGGAGAGUGAAGGUGAAGGUGGGCUGGGAGCCGGGCCGGGAGGAGGGGUGUAAGCCCCUUCGCUGCGUUCGGAAAUAGAUGUGAGAAGAGUCCCAGAGAUUGAAGCACAUACUAUUUGGGAUCCUGAUCAAACAAGGCAAGAAGAAAUGAAUACAACACUCCAAGGACAAAAAGAGCAAGAAAGGAGAUAACAGCAGUUAAGAGAAUUCAUCACAUGUUUGGAAGAUGGGAAGUGGAUGGAGGAAAGGUGACUGACUUGGCAGAGUAGAGGAAGCUGAUACCUAAGUGCCUGUAGAAACAAUUGGAGGCUACACCUCUUCAUUCUUUUACGGAGGUUAGGAAAAGAGUACACAGGGAGGCCUACAGAAUAUUUAGCUAAAUAUUUAAAAGAUAUAGAUCCAGCUAAAAAAAAACCACUGACUAAAGUAUAUUCUAUCCUCCUGUCUUGAGAAAUGCAGAGGAAGGACCUCCACCUGGGAGUAUUCCAAUGAAGACAUCUACUCAUGUAUAAAGGCAACUCAAUGGGAUAAAAAUAUUUGAGAAUUAUUGUGCUAGAACAAUCAGCAAAUGACCAACACUACAUUUUCUGACCAUUCUUCCUCCUCUGCAAUUACGUUCAUGAGAAUUUAUGUAGAAACAGAAGCGUAUCAAGGUCAGCACCUGGUCUUUCCCUAAUUAAGUGGUUUGCAACACUCCCCCCUUCCUCCAUAUUGCCCCCUCAAUAAAGCACUUGGAAAGAA